AACUUUCAACAACGGAUCUCUUGGCUCUCGCAUCGAUGAAGAACGCAGCC
This 50-nucleotide ribosomal RNA is filed under the name uncultured fungus. Its description in RNAcentral is "partial 5.8S ribosomal RNA". It matches the Rfam family "5.8S ribosomal RNA", at positions 1 to 50 of the family's 154-position model. Rfam says of the family: 5.8S ribosomal RNA (5.8S rRNA) is a component of the large subunit of the eukaryotic ribosome. It is transcribed by RNA polymerase I as part of the 45S precursor that also contains 18S and 28S rRNA. Functionally, it is thought that 5.8S rRNA may be involved in ribosome translocation. The record is from RNAcentral. Lineage: Eukaryota; Fungi.